Magnolia sinica is the source of this 439-nucleotide long non-coding RNA. RefSeq lists it as uncharacterized. The record is from RefSeq and is a predicted model, not a curated record. The transcript has 3 exons. NCBI's taxonomy places the organism in Eukaryota, Viridiplantae, Streptophyta, Magnoliopsida, Magnoliales, Magnoliaceae.
AGGUUGGCCUCAAGUACAAUGAGUCAGUGUUAAUAAGGGUAACUAGAUGCCCUAAUGGUUGUGCCAGACCUUAUAUGGCUAAGCUUGGACUGGUUAGUGAUGGACCCAACAUGUACCAGGUCUGGCUCAGGGGAACGCCUAACCAAACCUCACUAGCAAAAUAUUUCAUGAAUAAGGUGAAGAUUCAUGAUCUAGAAAAGGUUUUGUAGCCAUUGUUCUACAACUAGAGGCACAAACGCCAACAGGGAGAAUCUUUCGGCAAUUUCACAACCCGCCUGGGCUUUGACAAACUGAAAGAGACAGUUGAGAAAUGAGAGGGCAUAACAAUGGCACCGGCACGGUUUAAUCUAAAGCUUUUUGCUGACAAAGACACAUAUGAAGCCAUGAAUGAACUUGCAAAGCUUCAGAACAAGACUGCUCACCAGCUGGCCAUGGAAGU